Molecule: unclassified non-coding RNA, 327 nt
Filed under: soil metagenome
Description: partial contains 5.8S ribosomal RNA, internal transcribed spacer 2, and large subunit ribosomal RNA
Rfam family: 5.8S ribosomal RNA (bases 1-120)
Source: RNAcentral
GAUGAAGAACGUAGCGAAAUGCGAUAAGUAAUGUGAAUUGCAGAAUUCAGUGAAUCAUCGAAUCUUUGAACGCACAUUGCGCCCCUUGGUAUUCCGAGGGGCAUGCCUGUUCGAGCGUCAUUAUAACCCCUCAAGCUCAGCUUGGUGUUGGGGCCUGCUGCACUGGCAGCCCUUAAAAUCAGUGGCGGCGCCAUCUGGCUCUAAGCGUAGUAAUUCUUCUCGCUAUGGAGUCCUGGUGGAUGCUUGCCAUCAACCCCCAAUUUUUCUAUGGUUGACCUCGGAUCAGGUAGGGAUACCCGCUGAACUUAAGCAUAUCAAUAAGCGAGG